UACAGAGGUCUCAAGCGUUGUUCGGAUUCAUUGGGCGUAAAGGGCGCGUAGGCGGCGUGACAAGUCACUUGUGAAAUCUCCGGGCUUAACCCGGAGCGGCCAAGUGAUACUGUCGUGCUAGAGUGCGGAAGGGGCUACUGGAAUUCUCGGUGUAGCGGUGAAAUGCGUAGAUAUCGAGAGGAACACCUGCGGCGAAGGCGGGUAGCUGGGCCGACACUGACGCUGAGGCGCGAAAGCCAGGGGAGCGAACGGG
This 253-nucleotide ribosomal RNA is filed under the name uncultured bacterium. Its description in RNAcentral is "partial 16S ribosomal RNA". It matches the Rfam family "Bacterial small subunit ribosomal RNA", at positions 524 to 776 of the family's 1533-position model. The record is from RNAcentral.